RNAcentral lists this ribosomal RNA (116 nucleotides) under Peribacillus frigoritolerans. Lineage: Bacteria; Bacillati; Bacillota; Bacilli; Caryophanales; Bacillaceae. The record is from RNAcentral.
UUUGGUAGCGAUAGCGAAGAGGUCACACCCGUUCCCAUUCCGAACACGGCAGUUAAGCUCUUCAGCGCCGAUGGUAGUUGGGGGUUUCCCCCUGUGAGAGUAGGACGCCGCCAAGC